RNAcentral lists this ribosomal RNA (301 nucleotides) under uncultured bacterium. Its description in RNAcentral is "partial 16S ribosomal RNA". It matches the Rfam family "Bacterial small subunit ribosomal RNA", at positions 509 to 807 of the family's 1533-position model. The record is from RNAcentral.
CAGUAGCCGCGGGAAUACAGAGGGUGCGAGCGUUAAUCGGAUUUACUGGGCGUAAAGCGUGCGUAGGCGGCUAAUUGAGUCGGAUGUGAAAUCCCCGAGCUUAACUUAGUAAUUGCAUUCGAUACUGGGAAGCUAGAGUAUGGGAGAGGAUGGUAGAAUUCCAGGUGUAGCGGUGAAAUGCGUAGAGAUCUGGAGGAAUACCGAUGGCGAAGGCAGCCAUCUGGCCUAAUACUGACGCUGAGGUACGAAAGCAUGGGGAGCAAACAGGAUUAGAUACCCCUGUAGUCCCUGUCUCUUAUAC